AAAUUGAAGAGUUUGAUCAUGGCUCAGAUUGAACGCUGGCGGCAGGCCUAACACAUGCAAGUCGAACGGUAACAGGAAGAAGCUUGCUUCUUUGCUGACGAGUGGCGGACGGGUGAGUAAUGUCUGGGAAACUGCCUGAUGGAGGGG
This 147-nucleotide ribosomal RNA is filed under the name Escherichia coli. RNAcentral's name for it is "partial 16S ribosomal RNA". It matches the Rfam family "Bacterial small subunit ribosomal RNA", at positions 1 to 141 of the family's 1533-position model. Lineage: Bacteria; Pseudomonadati; Pseudomonadota; Gammaproteobacteria; Enterobacterales; Enterobacteriaceae. The record is from RNAcentral.